RNAcentral lists this ribosomal RNA (480 nucleotides) under Nanopolystoma tinsleyi. RNAcentral's name for it is "partial 12S ribosomal RNA". Lineage: Eukaryota; Metazoa; Platyhelminthes; Monogenea; Polystomatidea; Polystomatidae. The record is from RNAcentral.
GACUGAUUUGUUGUUCUUUUUUUAUGAGGAUUAGUUGAUUUUGUGAUGAUUGUGUAACAAUUGGUUUAAUAUUUGUUUUUUUUGAUACGGAUUAUGAUUUUUUGAUUGAUUUAUGUUUUAGAUGUGGAUUAGAUACCCACGUAUUUUAAUUUUUAUUUUUAUUUUCUCGGUUUGGAACCGAAAGAAAUUGGCAGCAAACCAUGUCCUGCUGGGGGAUUGUGUGAUGUAAGUAGAUGGUCCGCUUAUUAUUUUAUCUUUAUUUGUGUUGGUGUAUAUCCGGGUUUUUAUAUGAUAUUAGUGUUUCGUGUGUAUAAAUUUGUUUUAAUUCAGGUCAAUAUGCUACUUUUGUAGAGGGUUUUGUGCAAUACAUUUUGUGGAUUAGUGCUGAAUAGUUAGUUUUUUUAGGACUCAGAAGUAAUGGGAAAUAUAUUUGUUCUUGUGAAGGAGGUUUGGUUUGGGUACACAUCGCCCGCCAUCUUC